UAACCUUUUCCAGAAAGACAUGCAGCCGUCCGUUAAGAUUAAGCAUCUAUUGACAGUUGAUUCAAGCCCCGAGUUAAAUAAAGAUGAUCUAGAACAGGCUAAAUGUCACAACAAAAAUGAACAGGAGUCAUGAUCAGAAUAAUGUAGAAAGAUUUUACCUAAAUGACAUGUUAAACAGAUUUGGUAUGAAUUGUAAGUCAUCACAUAUACUCAAGGACCAUGAAGUAGCCUCUUCUACAUUCAGAAAGAUCUUGCACCUGAACUCCGUUUUUAUCUUCAGCAUGGUCUGAAGCAAAGCUUUUUGACGAGGCCCUCUUUUUCCUUGGGGAAGAGAUGCCCUGCUAAUAGUAGCAAGAAAUCACC
Molecule: long non-coding RNA, 363 nt
Filed under: Nicotiana tabacum (common tobacco)
Lineage: Eukaryota; Viridiplantae; Streptophyta; Magnoliopsida; Solanales; Solanaceae
Description: long non-coding RNA (NTAB_LNC018739)
Source: RNAcentral